Long non-coding RNA from Cannabis sativa, 696 nucleotides. RefSeq lists it as uncharacterized. Lineage: Eukaryota; Viridiplantae; Streptophyta; Magnoliopsida; Rosales; Cannabaceae. The transcript is spliced from 4 exons. The record is from RefSeq and is a predicted model, not a curated record.
AACCCAAUAAUUAACCCAAAAAAUUAAACAAUCUUUUAAAUAUUAAUAAUCUCUUUUUAAAUUAAAAAAAUCAUCUUAGCCACAUAUCUCUCUAACAAACCUAUCUUCGAAGAAUAUUAAUAAUUUUUUUUAAUUUUAUAAUAAUAAAUAAUCGCAAUUUUUCUCCCUCUUGAUUUUCUCUCUCAAAUCCAAAUCUUAUAUUGUGAUUGCCCUAUAUUCUACGAAGAAAAUUGCUUCUGAUCGACGAGCACCACAGAGGGGAAAAACCAGCAUUGCAAAACAGAAGACAAUUUGGUAGAGAGAAAAGCUAAAACUCUAAUCCCUUUUCUUGACUGCCAACGAUUGGAGAUGACUCCUUUCAGGUUGUAGCAAGAAAAGUUAAAAACCAAUAUACAUGGAAGGAUUGCUUUGAAGCAGUUGAAGGUAUAUUGUAUUUAUUAUGCUUUAUUCUGUGGGGUUCUUUACUUGUAAAAUUGGGCAUUGCAAAUCAUUGGUGGCGACUUGCACUAUUUGAGUUCUUCCUAAGGUAUUUCUUCCUUAUUGUGAUCUUCAUGGAAGAGUUAUUAGUUUUCUAUGUAAUAGUGAUUGUUCCUUAUAUUUCAUCAGGAGGGGAUUCUUCUUAGUCUAUGUUUAUGUAAUGGCUUCCAUGAAAUUUUCUUAUAAAUAAAAAAUAGUAAAGUUCUCCAUUUUUCAAAA